UACGAAGGGGGCUAGCGUUGCUCGGAAUCACUGGGCUUAAAGGGCGCGUAGGCGGCCAUCUAAGUCAGACGUGAAAUCCCUCGGCUCAACCGAGGAACUGCGUCUGAUACUGGAAGGCUUGAAUCCGGGAGAGGGAUGUGGAAUUCCAGGUGUAGCGGUGAAAUGCGUAGAUAUCUGGAGGAACACCAAUGGCGAAGGCAGCUCGCUGGGACGGUACUGACGCUGAGACGCGAAAGCGUGGGGAGCAAACAGG
Molecule: ribosomal RNA, 253 nt
Filed under: uncultured bacterium
Lineage: Bacteria
Description: partial 16S ribosomal RNA
Rfam family: Bacterial small subunit ribosomal RNA
Source: RNAcentral